GACGAAGGAUCCAAGCGUUAUCCGGAUUCAUUGGGUUUAAAGGGUGCGUAGGCGGGUUAAUAAGUCAGUGGUGAAAUCCUAUCGCUUAACGAUGGAACUGCCAUUGAUACUGUUAGCCUAGAGUACAGAUGAUGUUGGCGGAAUAUGACAUGUAGCGGUGAAAUGCAUAGAUAUGUCAUAGAACACCGAUUGCGAAGGCAGCUGACAAAACUGUAACUGACGCUGAUGCACGAAAGUGCGGGGAUCAAACAGG
This 253-nucleotide ribosomal RNA is filed under the name uncultured bacterium. Its description in RNAcentral is "partial 16S ribosomal RNA". It matches the Rfam family "Bacterial small subunit ribosomal RNA", at positions 524 to 776 of the family's 1533-position model. The record is from RNAcentral.